Molecule: long non-coding RNA, 215 nt
Filed under: Ananas comosus (pineapple)
Lineage: Eukaryota; Viridiplantae; Streptophyta; Magnoliopsida; Poales; Bromeliaceae
Description: long non-coding RNA (ACOM_LNC035277)
Source: RNAcentral
UAUAGGAUUCUUGUCACAAGACCCAAUCCUCAUGCAACCUAAGAUCAAGUGUCAAGCCCACAAUGCUACACAACCUAGGUAACAUGCAAGGAAUGGAAAUGUAAUCAUCUACUAAUCCUAUAAUGCACAAUAUAUCAACAUAUAGGAAUAUGAUCAAAAUAUAGAACUUAGAUAUAAAAGGAAGCUCAGUUGCUUCGGGAUGGACACCCCCCACC